Molecule: transfer RNA, 63 nt
Filed under: Scelimena sp. 1 XDL-2023a
Lineage: Eukaryota; Metazoa; Arthropoda; Insecta; Orthoptera; Tetrigidae
Description: tRNA-Cys
Source: RNAcentral
GGCUUUAUAUUCAAAUAUGAUUUUAGAUUGCAAUUCUAAGGGUGUGUUUAUUCACUAAGGCCU